GGUGAUUCAGCGGUAGAGUGCUUGCCUUGCAUGCAAGAGGCCCUGGGUUCAAUUCCUCAGCACCA
This 65-nucleotide transfer RNA is filed under the name Dipodomys ordii (Ord's kangaroo rat). It matches the Rfam family "tRNA". From Rfam's summary of the family: Transfer RNA (tRNA) molecules are approximately 80 nucleotides in length. Their secondary structure includes four short double-helical elements and three loops (D, anti-codon, and T loops). Lineage: Eukaryota; Metazoa; Chordata; Mammalia; Rodentia; Heteromyidae. The record is from Rfam by way of RNAcentral.